This 704-nucleotide long non-coding RNA is filed under the name Ananas comosus (pineapple). Its description in RNAcentral is "long non-coding RNA (ACOM_LNC032661)". Lineage: Eukaryota; Viridiplantae; Streptophyta; Magnoliopsida; Poales; Bromeliaceae. The record is from RNAcentral.
AUAGUAGUCCUAUUUUAUUAUAUAAAGUUGAACUUUCAUACUUUUGGAAGCACCAACUUUCAACUUUUGGGCCUCUUGAUUUAUAUUAUUAUCACCACCAACUAGUAAACCCUAAAGAUCCAGGGGUUCAAAAGUUAAAAGUCAAUACUUUUAAACGCAUAGUAGCCCCACGAUAUAUUCAUAUAUACGAGUCCGACUACUAUACUUUCAAUAGUACCAAAUGCUUGGUGCUAUCGAGUUUUCUGCCAUUAGAUCUACUCGUUUGACCAUUUCCACCCGUUAGAUCAUAUUAUUCAACUAACCAACCACUCAACCCUAGGAGACCACUGUCAUCCUAAAUCGAGGACCACUAUUAUACUGUCCACACAUCACUUCAUCCAAGGGCUGAAAAACUAAUAGCACCAAGGGUUUGGUACUAUUGACAGUGUAGUAGUCUAAUUCCAUAUAUACAUACACACACAUAUAUUAUAGUAGGUCUUGUGUGUUAUUAGGAGUACGGAGGCCUCUGUGCUAUUAAGCCAUUUUCGAUGAUGGAACUUCCGAAUCGAUGAUCAGCUCCAUUAGGCUUGAUCUAGCAUAUUUGAACUAUGGAGAAAAUAAAUUUUACAAUUUUUCGAUAUCAUUUGCUUAUUAGUGAUCAAAAUGACUCAAAAUUUAAUUCGAAUUUAAUCUAUAAUGGGUACGAACAGCAAGAUUGUUCUUUA